Molecule: microRNA precursor, 205 nt
Filed under: Oryza brachyantha (malo sina)
Lineage: Eukaryota; Viridiplantae; Streptophyta; Magnoliopsida; Poales; Poaceae
Description: MIR812 microRNA precursor family
Rfam family: MIR812 microRNA precursor family
Source: Rfam by way of RNAcentral
AAUAAGUUUAUUUUUCAGUUUUUGAAUACGAUGUUUGACCUUUUGUCUUAUUUGAAAUUUUUUACGAUUAAUAUUUCUAUUGUUACCAGAUGAUAAAACGUGAAUAGUACUUUACGCGUGACUAUUUUUUUUAGUUUUUCUAUAAUUUUUUUAAAUAAGACAAAUAGUCAAAUGUUAGACACAGAAAUAACAAAAUAAACUUAUU